Molecule: long non-coding RNA, 487 nt
Organism: Strongylocentrotus purpuratus (purple sea urchin)
Lineage: Eukaryota; Metazoa; Echinodermata; Echinoidea; Camarodonta; Strongylocentrotidae
Exons: 3
Source: RefSeq, a predicted model, not a curated record
GGAGGCUGCCCUGAGCAGAAGUGUGCUCUAGGAUACAAAGUACGCAAUGGCGGGGUCAUAUGUCAAGAGUGUGAAGGGGGUACCUUUGGCUUGGAUUGUCUUCAGCAAUGUCAUUGUGCUCCAGAGGCUUGCGAGACGGAGAGGGGUCUUUGCCAGGGACAAUGCCUUGAUAGCUGGAUUGAACCAAACUGCCUUCAAGGAAUAUCCAAAUUAGUUCCAGUGAGAGUGAACCCAUACCAACCAUCUAUCUUCACAUGUUAUGUUGAGGGUAUUCCACUUCUCGAUGCAUCCUCAGUUAAUUUUUAUCGACGCACUGGAAACACCAAUGACAGGACAGGAAUCACCAGGGGAUCUAGCACUGUCUCAGGGUCAGAACGAGCUGUUGUCUUUGAUGUUGAUAGUGUGUAUCCACAGGAAGAUGGGGGAUAUGUUUGCAUUCUUACUGUUGAAGAGGUAGACUAUCCCAGUACGCUCAUUACCGACGCAA